UAGGUCUAUAGGUCUGUCCUGCAUAAUUUGUAGCUCUGCGGGUCAAUGAAAGACGAAAUGUUGAUUGACUCAAAAUGCGACGGAUCUCCAUUUUUCUCUCUAGUCUAUCAAACACAGUCUUUUGUUUGUGCUUUUAGUUGCAAAAAUGUGUGAAAUUAUGUUCCUUUUAUUCUUUAGUCUGUUCAGAUAAAAAUAUUCUUAAUAUAUGUCUGAAAUUGAGUUCGUUAUAAAUUUUAAUUAUAU
This 243-nucleotide small RNA is filed under the name Vigna angularis var. angularis. RNAcentral describes it as "Non-protein coding transcript". The record is from RNAcentral. Lineage: Eukaryota; Viridiplantae; Streptophyta; Magnoliopsida; Fabales; Fabaceae.